Molecule: non-coding RNA, 101 nt
Organism: Acanthosepion pharaonis
Lineage: Eukaryota; Metazoa; Mollusca; Cephalopoda; Sepiida; Sepiidae
Source: the annotation of a GenBank genome assembly
CGCUGAAAACACCGGUUCUCGUUCGAUCACCGAAGUUAAGCAUCGUAGAGCCAGGUCAGUACUUAGAUGGGGGACCGCUUGGGAACACCUGGUACUGUAAG